CUGGGAGUGAGAGGCAUCAUGCCCAAGAACAUGAAAGCUUUGUGGUUCUUCCUCAUUCUGGUGGCAGCUCCCAGAUGUGUCCUGUCCCAGGUGCAGCCGAGGGAGUCAGGACCUGGCCUGGUGAAGCCCUCACAGACCCUGUCCCUCACCUGCUCUGCAUCUGGGUUAUCUUUAUCCAGCAAUCAUAUGAACUGGAUCCGGCAGGCUCUGGGAAAGGGGCUGGAGUGGGUUGGUGAGAUAACCAAUAGUGGAAGCACAUACUACAACCCAACUCUUCAGUCCCGAAUCACCAUCACCAAGGACAACUCCAAAAAUGAAGUCUAUUUAAAGCUGAGUGGCCUGAAAUCUGAGGACACAGCCACGUAUUACUGUGCUAGAGACACAGUGAGAGGAAGUCAGGGUGUCCUUUCUGAAGUGUGGCUGGUGGAGUCUGGGGGUGAUGUGAGAUAUGCUGGUGUCUCUGAGCCUCCAUGUGCAGCCUCAGGAUUCACCUGUGAUACGUACUCCUCACAUAGGUCCCAGAAGACUCCAGGAAAAGGGCUGGAGAGGAUUGCAUAUGCUAGCUGCAAUGAUGAGAGCACUAAGGACACAGACUCAGGGAAAGGUGUCCUGACCCAGCUUCAGCUGCAGGAGUUGGGACCUGACCUGGUGAACCCUCACAGACCCUGUCCCUCACCUGCUCUGUCUCUGGAUUCUCUUUAA
Choloepus didactylus (southern two-toed sloth) is the source of this 702-nucleotide non-coding RNA. Lineage: Eukaryota; Metazoa; Chordata; Mammalia; Pilosa; Megalonychidae. The record is from the annotation of a RefSeq genome assembly.